ACUUCAUGAUUUGGGCAUUGGGCAAAGUUUCCAUUAAAUUAUUCCCAAUCUUCAAACAAUGAUUCUCCAUUUGUUUGCUGAAAGUUUACAAUCUCGUCCUUAUUUU
Capsicum annuum is the source of this 106-nucleotide non-coding RNA. The record is from Rfam. Lineage: Eukaryota; Viridiplantae; Streptophyta; Magnoliopsida; Solanales; Solanaceae.